AGGUGAGGGCGAUCUGGCUGCGACAUCUGUCACCCCAUUGAUCGCCAGGGUUGAUUCGGCUGAUCUGGCUGGCUAGGCGGGUGUCCCCUUCCUCCCUCACCGCUCCAUGUGCGUCCCUCCCGAAGCUGCGCGCUGGGUCGAAGAGGACGACCAUCCCCGAUAGAGGAGAGGACCGUUCUUCAGUCAAGGGUAUACGAGUAGCUGCGCUCCCCUGCUAGAACCUCCAAACAAGAUACAGAUUAUUUUAAAUCAGUUGUAGAAGUUCUCUGCCUCUCUCAACUCAGGCCAGGAAAUUCAAGUCGUGACCUUACAUCCUGUUCUU
This 322-nucleotide small nuclear RNA is filed under the name Neogale vison (American mink). RNAcentral describes it as "Neovison vison (American mink) 7SK RNA (ENSNVIG00000021250.1)". It matches the Rfam family "7SK RNA". Rfam says of the family: 7SK was discovered as an abundant small nuclear RNA in the mid-70s but a possible function has only recently been suggested. Two independent studies have found that 7SK RNA binds the CDK9/cyclin T complex (known as elongation factor P-TEFb). The record is from Rfam by way of RNAcentral. Lineage: Eukaryota; Metazoa; Chordata; Mammalia; Carnivora; Mustelidae.